CCAACACCUCCAAUCUCUCUCUUUUGACAAUUGCCCUAAUCUGAAGAAAGUGUGUUCGCAUGCCCAACACCUCACCUCCAUCCAGCGUCUCUCUUUUUGGAAUUGCCGUAAGAUGAAGGAUCUACCAGAAAUGUUGUUGCCUUCACUCUUGAGAUUAGACAUCUGGGGUAAUUGCCCAGGUCUGAAAGAAAGAUGCAGUAAAAAGGGGAGUUACUGGCCCCUCAUCUCCCAUAUCCCCUGUCUCGACAUAUGAAGAGUUGAUGCUGCAGACUCGACUGUGACUGGAAGCAUUUUACAGUUUCUAUUACAGAUUUUCCAACCUUCACAGCAGGGAGCAAAACGUUAAAUUUGAUUGGAAGAUUAUAAUGUUGGCUUCCUUUUCCUAAUCUUCUUUUUUUUUCAAUAUCUAUUAGUGAUUCGUGAAUAAAAGAAUGAGUUGACUUAGAUUGUUGGUAAUGGGUUGUGUUUUGUUUGUAAUGGGUCUGAUCACAGAUUGUCUAUUGUAUGUAUACCUAUAGUGCUCUAUUAGUGAUCGUUGCAUCAUUGAUAUCAGUUGU
This 557-nucleotide long non-coding RNA is filed under the name Helianthus annuus (common sunflower). The record is from RNAcentral. Lineage: Eukaryota; Viridiplantae; Streptophyta; Magnoliopsida; Asterales; Asteraceae.